This 329-nucleotide unclassified non-coding RNA is filed under the name soil metagenome. RNAcentral describes it as "partial contains 5.8S ribosomal RNA, internal transcribed spacer 2, and large subunit ribosomal RNA". The stretch from base 1 to 120 matches the Rfam family "5.8S ribosomal RNA", at positions 35 to 154 of the family's 154-position model. The record is from RNAcentral.
GAUGAAGAACGUAGCGAAAUGCGAUAAGUAAUGUGAAUUGCAGAAUUCAGUGAAUCAUCGAAUCUUUGAACGCACAUUGCGCCCCCUGGUAUUCCGGGGGGCAUGCCUGUCCGAGCGUCAUUACAACCCUUAAGCUCAGCUUGGUGUUGGGCCCCGCCGCCCCGGCGGGCCCUAAAGUCAGUGGCGGUGCCGUCCGGCUCCGAGCGUAGUAAUUCUUCUCGCUCUGGAGGUCCGGUCGUGUGCUCGCCAGCAACCCCCAAUUUUUUUCAGGUUGACCUCGGAUCAGGUAGGGAUACCCGCUGAACUUAAGCAUAUCAAUAAGCGGAGGA